Molecule: non-coding RNA, 552 nt
Organism: Elgaria multicarinata webbii
Lineage: Eukaryota; Metazoa; Chordata; Lepidosauria; Squamata; Anguidae
Source: the annotation of a RefSeq genome assembly
UUUGCAUGCAGGGGGUGCUCUCUUGACCCCUGGGGAUUUAAGAGAGACUGGGAGGAAGCCAACGGGAGAUCCUUCUACUUGAGGAACAUCAAUCUAUCCACUAUCCCUACAAUGGCCCAGACUCUGCUUCUCUUCACACUCCUCCUCUCCAUUGGUCCCAGUGUCCAGCAGCUGCAGACCCUGAAGGACCCAGAAUUCGUGGCUCUGGGUGGGACGGUCACCAUGUCUUGCAGAUUCGAUAGUGGAAACCUUGGUGAUGGCAAUUACCCUUGGUGGGCCCAGAAGAAACCAGGAAGUAAACCUCGGAGAAUGAUGUAUACCGCUAGCACCAGACCUUCUGAUGUCCCAGCCCGUUUCUCUGGCUCCAGGUCGGGGAAUGUGAUGUCUCUAACCAUUACGGGGGCCCAGGUGGAAGAUGAAGCGGCUUAUUACUGCUGUGUGUGGACUGCAAGCCAGUGUCACAGUGGUUCAUUCAGAUGGGGAAAUGAGACAAAAACCUCCUCUCACUUCUUUGCUCUCGUUGGACAUGAACAGAAAGUGAACUGUCUAUAG